GAGUUUGAUCCUGGCUCAGAAUGAACGUUAGCGGCGUGCCUGAUGCAUGCAAGUCGAACGCCCUGAUAGUUCGCAAGGGUUAUCAGGGAGUGGCGAACGGCUGAGUAACGCGUAAGUAACCUACCUUCAAGUGGGGAAUAACCUGCCGAAAGGCAAGCUAAUACCGCAUGUGCUAGCAAGUGAUUUAUAGCUUUUUAGUAAAGCCUGCGGGCGCUUGAAGAUGGGCUUGCGUCCGAUUAGCUAGUUGGUAGGGUAAUGGCCUACCAAGGCGAUGAUCGGUAGCUGGUCUGAGAGGACAACCAGCCAGACGGGGACUGAGACACGGCCCUGACUCCUACGGGAGGCAGCAGCAAGGAAUUUUGCGCAAUGGGCGAAAGCUUGACGCAGCAACGCCGCGUGGGGGAUGAAGGCCUUCGGGUCGUAAACCCCUUUUCUCGAGGAAGAAUAAUGACGGUACUCGGGGAAUAAGUCUUGGCUAACUACGUGCCAGCAGCCGCGGUAAUACGUAGAAGGCAAACGUUAUUCGGAUUUACUGGGCGUAAAGCGGGUGCAGACGGUUUCUUAAGUCGGAUGUGAAACCUCUUGACUCAAUCAAGAGGGGUCAUUCGAUACUGAGGAGCCUGAGGGCAGCAGAGGAAGGCGGAAUUCCCGGUGUAGCGGUGAAAUGCGUAGAUAUCGGGAGGAACACCAGUGGCGAAAGCGGCCUUCUGGGCUGUUCCUGACGUUGAGGCCCGAAAGCGUGGGGAGCGAAACGGAUUAGAUACCCGUGUAGUCCACGCCCUAAACUUUGGACACUAGGUAUGGGGAGUAUCGACCCUCUCCGUGCCGAAGCUAACGCCUUAAGUGUCCCGCCUGGGGACUACGGCCGCAAGGCUAAAACUCAAAGGAAUUGACGGGGGGCCCGCACAAGCAGCGGAGCGUGUGGUUUAAUUCGAUGCAACGCGAAGAACCUUACCAAGGCUUGACAUGUCGGAAGUAGGAACUCGAAAGAGGGACGAUCUGUAUCCAGUCAGGAGCCGAUACAGGUGCUGUAUGGCUGUCGUCAGCUCGUGCCGUGAGGUGUUGGGUUAAGUCCCGCAACGAGCGCAACCCUUGUCGCUAGUUACUUUCUCUAGCGAUACUGCCCGUAAAACGUGGAGGAAGGUGGGGAUGACGUCAAGUCAGCAUGGCCUUUAUGCCUUGGGCUACACACACGCUACAAUGGCUGAUACAACGGGUUGCAAAAGAGCGAUCUGGAGCUAAUCCCAAAAAUCAGCCUCAGUUCGGAUUGCAGGCUGAAACCGCGUGCAUGAAGUCGGAGUUGCUAGUAACCGCAGGUCAGCACACUGCGGUGAAUACGUUCUCGGGCCUUGUACACACCGCCCGUCACGUCAUGGGAGCCGGUAACACCUGAAGUCGAUGGGCUAACCUUCGGGAGGCAGUCGCCGAAGGUGGGACCGGUAACUGGGACGAAGUCGUAACAAGGUAACC
Molecule: ribosomal RNA, 1470 nt
Filed under: uncultured bacterium
Lineage: Bacteria
Description: bacterial SSU rRNA
Rfam family: Bacterial small subunit ribosomal RNA
Source: RNAcentral